RNAcentral lists this ribosomal RNA (1215 nucleotides) under Acinetobacter baumannii. RNAcentral describes it as "partial 16S ribosomal RNA". It matches the Rfam family "Bacterial small subunit ribosomal RNA", at positions 36 to 1240 of the family's 1533-position model. Lineage: Bacteria; Pseudomonadati; Pseudomonadota; Gammaproteobacteria; Moraxellales; Moraxellaceae. The record is from RNAcentral.
CUCGGGGGCGGCUUACACAUGCAAGUCGAGCGGGGGAAGGUAGCUUGCUACUGGACCUAGCGGCGGACGGGUGAGUAAUGCUUAGGAAUCUGCCUAUUAGUGGGGGACAACAUCUCGAAAGGGAUGCUAAUACCGCAUACGUCCUACGGGAGAAAGCAGGGGAUCUUCGGACCUUGCGCUAAUAGAUGAGCCUAAGUCGGAUUAGCUAGUUGGUGGGGUAAAGGCCUACCAAGGCGACGAUCUGUAGCGGGUCUGAGAGGAUGAUCCGCCACACUGGGACUGAGACACGGCCCAGACUCCUACGGGAGGCAGCAGUGGGGAAUAUUGGACAAUGGGGGGAACCCUGAUCCAGCCAUGCCGCGUGUGUGAAGAAGGCCUUAUGGUUGUAAAGCACUUUAAGCGAGGAGGAGGCUACUUUAGUUAAUACCUAGAGAUAGUGGACGUUACUCGCAGAAUAAGCACCGGCUAACUCUGUGCCAGCAGCCGCGGUAAUACAGAGGGUGCGAGCGUUAAUCGGAUUUACUGGGCGUAAAGCGUGCGUAGGCGGCUUAUUAAGUCGGAUGUGAAAUCCCCGAGCUUAACUUGGGAAUUGCAUUCGAUACUGGUGAGCUAGAGUAUGGGAGAGGAUGGUAGAAUUCCAGGUGUAGCGGUGAAAUGCGUAGAGAUCUGGAGGAAUACCGAUGGCGAAGGCAGCCAUCUGGCCUAAUACUGACGCUGAGGUACGAAAGCAUGGGGAGCAAACAGGAUUAGAUACCCUGGUAGUCCAUGCCGUAAACGAUGUCUACUAGCCGUUGGGGCCUUUGAGGCUUUAGUGGCGCAGCUAACGCGAUAAGUAGACCGCCUGGGGAGUACGGUCGCAAGACUAAAACUCAAAUGAAUUGACGGGGGCCCGCACAAGCGGUGGAGCAUGUGGUUUAAUUCAAUGCACCGCGAAGAACCUUACCUGGGCUUGACAUACUAGAAACUUUCCAAAAUGGAUGGGGGCCUUCGGGAAAUCAAGAAAAAGUGCUGCAGGCUGGCCUCCGCCCCCGGCCCGGGAAUGUUGGGUUUAUGCCCCCCAAAAAGGCGCAACCUUUUUUUCUUUUUUUGCCCCCUUUCGAGAGGGAAAUUUUUAGGUAUCUGCCCGCUGGAAAAGUGGGGGGAAGGGGGGGGGAAACACCCAAAUUUUUUUGGGCCCUUUUGGCCGGGGGGUCCCCCCGGUAAAAGGGGGGGAAA